Molecule: long non-coding RNA, 426 nt
Filed under: Homo sapiens (human)
Lineage: Eukaryota; Metazoa; Chordata; Mammalia; Primates; Hominidae
Description: HSALNT0296264
Source: RNAcentral
CAAGACUGGGAGCUUAGAUUGUGGAUGAGGAAACCUAAGUUUGAUUUGAUCAUACCAAAUUUGAGAAGCCUGUAAGAAACCCAAAUGAAGAUGCGGACAAGGAUCUGUAAGUUUAAAGUCAGAGGAGAUGUCAGGUCUAGAGAUAUAAAUUUGGAAGUCAACAGCCUACUGAUGCUAUUUAAACUAGGGACUGGAUGAGAUCAUCAAAGAAGCACUGCCAUUCCUCAGCCCAUUCCAGACAGAGCAGAAGAGAGAAAAGAAGAAAUAAAGCAAAAGAAACAAGAGAGAGUAAAAGAAGCUCCCAUGGUUUUUCUCUGAGAAUUUCACUGGGGAUCUAAUUUUAAAGAAGGGGACAUGAAGAUUGAAGAAAGAACACAUAAUUUCAACCAUUUUGUUAAAUGAAAUUUGUUGGCUCUAUAAAAACGC